UCCAGCCUAUGUGAAAUAGUGAGAUCCUGUCUUGAAAAUAUAAAGAGGGAGGAAAGGUUGGCCUGUGGCUAAUCAGAAAGGGCCUCCCAUUCUUGGGGUCGCAACAGUGUCUUCCGUCCACUCAUUCGCUGUCUUUUUCCCAGGCUGUGGCUCUCUGAGGGCCUAGACUCUGCCUUGUUACCUUUUCCUAAGCUAUAGAAGAGGUCCUGCCUGCCCUGUGACGCUACCUCCCAGGGGACAGUAAUGGCCUCCCCAGGGGCUUCCUCCCAAGGGUCGCCCCACACAUGGUGCUCGAGGGCCCCUGUGGCUGUCUCUGAACGUUCAGCAUCUCACUCUUCCUCGGAGCCACCUCUGCCCAGUUGAAGCCCUGGCGCAGUGUUGGGCCUCCCCGGCCCGGGCCCAUACAACCUCAGCACGUUUUGUAAUCCAGCGCCGUCCUGUUCUGCCCUCAGCCCUUCUUCAUCAGCACUCAUUCUGGUUCUGAUUCCGGUCACUGCUGGCAUCAAUCCCUGUACUUCAGAGGUAGCGAUGGCAGCCCUUUCAGAGCCCGAGUGGCCACCCAGCCUUGCAGCCCCUGGCUCACGUUCCACUUGCUCUCCGACACUUCCCCUGCCAGCCCUGGCCUUGCCUCCUAGACUCCAGACCGCCUCGGGUUUGGCCACACCUUCCUCUGUCGCUGUGAUGUCUGUUGCUGUGCGCUCUGGGAGGCGGUUGUGGCCUCUUUCCAGUUGCCGUAGCAACUUCUAUAAAGAAACUGCUCACUUAA
Nomascus leucogenys (northern white-cheeked gibbon) is the source of this 766-nucleotide long non-coding RNA. RefSeq lists it as uncharacterized. The transcript is spliced from 2 exons. The record is from RefSeq and is a predicted model, not a curated record. NCBI's taxonomy places the organism in Eukaryota, Metazoa, Chordata, Mammalia, Primates, Hylobatidae.